RNAcentral lists this ribosomal RNA (506 nucleotides) under Hymenella cerealis. RNAcentral's name for it is "eukaryotic LSU rRNA". The stretch from base 156 to 309 matches the Rfam family "5.8S ribosomal RNA". The record is from RNAcentral. Lineage: Eukaryota; Fungi; Ascomycota.
GCUACGAUGUAAGACUACUAGUAACCCUUGAAAAAACAUACCUUUGUUGCUUUGGCGGGCCGCCUUUCUGGCCAGCGGCUCCGGCUGCUGCGUGCCCGCCAGAGGACCCCAACUCUUGAACUUUAAGUGAUGUCUGAGUACUAUAUAAUAGUUAAAACUUUCAACAACGGAUCUCUUGGUUCUGGCAUCGAUGAAGAACGCAGCGAAAUGCGAUAAGUAAUGUGAAUUGCAGAAUUCAGUGAAUCAUCGAAUCUUUGAACGCACAUUGCGCCCUUUGGUAUUCCGAAGGGCAUGCCUGUUCGAGCGUCAUUAUAACCACUCACGCCUUCGCGUGGUCUUGGGGCACGCGGUCUCGCGGCUCCUAAAACCAGUGGCGGUGCCUGUCGGCUCUACGCGUAGUAAAUACUCCUCGCGAUUGAGUCCGGCGGGUGGCUUGCCAGCAACCCCCCCCAUUCUUUCAGGUUGACCUCGGAUCAGGUAGGGAUACCCGCUGAACUUAAGCAUAU